Non-coding RNA from Maylandia zebra (zebra mbuna), 954 nucleotides. NCBI's taxonomy places the organism in Eukaryota, Metazoa, Chordata, Actinopteri, Cichliformes, Cichlidae. The record is from RefSeq and is a predicted model, not a curated record.
UCAACAACCAGGAAGCAGCUUCACCUCUGAUCACACACACACACUCAACUCUACUCACUCACCUGGAGGAUCAACACUCAGGGUGAUGAUGCUGAUGGAUUUCCAAGAGCGUGUUUCUCCCAUGAAGACACGACACUCAUCCACCCGGUUCUUAAAAGAUGGAUGCUGAUCAUCUGGCACAAAGACUUCAUCUCGGUACAAAAGGACAUAUUCGCCAUACAGAUCAGCUCGGCUCCAUUUUACACAUAUAUUGAUGUUUAGAGCUCGACAUGUCAGAGUGACAUCCUGUCCAGACUCAGCUGUGAUGUUUUUCUGGGCUGAAAGAGGAAACAACAGAGAGAGUAAAGUUUAAACCGUUCACUUGUAUAGCAGCCAAUCAGUGAAGAGCAGAGACCACUGUCCUCUGAUGAUGGUGGGUGGACCUCAAACCUGACUGACUGCUAGAAGUCAAAAAGGGGAAACAACACAUAGCAUAGAGUUGAAAGGGGUCCAGCACUUCAAGCUCAAUGGUCACCAGACAGUUUGCUGACACACACCAGGGGCGUCUCUACAGGGGUAGCCUUGUGCCACGCUAAAAAUAAUCUCUUGCCACCCCAGUUUUGCAUAUGACAGUGCUGUGUAUUAAAAUAAUCCAUCGAUAACACUUUGAGACCAGCUACAACAAAAAUUGCUUAAACAUUGUAAAACUGAAUAGACGGGAUUGUUUUGGGAGUGAUGGCAGCAAAAGAGAAAUUGAUAGCGAGUUUUGAGAUGUGACAGAUUUGUGAAGUUUAGCAUGUUUGGAGUGUUAGUGUGUAGCUGGUAUGUAGUAUAGUCUUUUGUUUUGUGUGUCAGUGAAUGUAAAAGUCGCUGUUAAAAGCCACCAAAGAUUGCAAUGUAAACACUGCACAAGUUUAAUAUAAAUUUACCAUUUAUAUUUGCUUUUCAAGUUAUGAAUAUAGUUCACUAAACAUG